This is a long non-coding RNA of Solanum lycopersicum (tomato), 2239 nucleotides long. RefSeq lists it as uncharacterized. Lineage: Eukaryota; Viridiplantae; Streptophyta; Magnoliopsida; Solanales; Solanaceae. The record is from RefSeq and is a predicted model, not a curated record.
GAAACAAUAUGUGUUGCACCAAUUUGACUAUCGCAAAAGAAUUUUUUAGGGAAGAAUUCAUCCAACAUAAUAGGCUUUCAAACCUUCUACGAUGAAGAACCAUUGAUCUUUCGAUUAGUACAAGGCUUGGCACUUUCUGAUGGUUGUAGUUGAUUCACAUCACUCUUUGUUGCUCUUGUCUUAGGAAGUUGUUGUUGACACCCAAUUUUGACCUUUCCCUAUACUAAUUACUUAACGGGCUUCUUAAUCCCAAACAUUUUGAAAUAAUUGGUUCCAUUAAGGCUUAAAAGGUUUUUCAAGUUAUUCCAAAUAAAUUUUAUUGUUGUCAUAAUUCUUAGAUAUUAUGUACGAUUUACAUAAUAAUGUAUAUGGCUAUUAUAUGUUAUGUUUGUUCGAAAUUCGUCUUUAAUGUUUUUUUUUGCUUAAAUAUUUUUAUUUUAGUUGUAUAAUGGUUUACAUUUUACAUCAAUUAUUUUAUGACAACGUCGUUUAUUUUUUUUAUUACGUUAAUUUUCUUUAAUUUUUAAUCAAUUUAGCCAAUAAUUUGGCUAGAUUGACUUUUUUUUAGAUAAACUUGGCCCUUUUGUUUGUCAGCAGCCCAUCUCAGAGUAAUUUAAAAAUUUUCCGUAAUUCCUAGCCCAAUAUCAUUUUGAUUCUCUCCAACCCAUUACUCCAAAUGAGAGCGUCCCAAUUCACUGAGAAAAUCAGCCCUAUUUUUAUUUCCCAGGCCCAUAUGCCAAGCCCACCCUUAUUUCCUGAUUUUCCAGGUUCGACAAAUCCAAGCCCAUUCUGCUUUGACCCAGUCCUCCCAUAUUCGGCCCAUCAGCAAAGGGAUAUUAUCAGCAGUGUCAACAUAGAAGAAACUGACAAAGAGGCGCUGUGACAAUGAUAGGGGUGCGUGAGUGACACGAUAUGACUAGUUCACGGAGGGUACACGACGUUAGACCGAAAUGGAGGUUGCUGUGUAUUUCCUGCUUUUUCUGCUACUGAAUACGAAUUCGUACAAAGGACAACGCAAGGUGUUGAAAUCUCCAUAUUUGCUCAUAGUAGUGCCAAGAUCGGACGGUCCUCAUUUCUUACCCGUUGCCAUUCUGUUGAGGGUUGGUAAUUUCAUACUAAUUACAACUAUCUCCCAUGAGUUGGGGAUGAUUUUUGAUUUUGAAAUGGCUGAAAUCUUUGGGGAUGAUUUUUUGAUUUUGAAAUGGCUGAAAUCUUUUGGCUUAAGAUUUCUUUUCCCUCUCCCCCUUCCCCGAAAAAAAAAUUGAAACCACAAUUCUUCUCCUAUAAAUACAGUCUUUUGUUCUUGGACAAAACAAACCCUUUAUUUGAGAGGAAUUUUGGAGCCGCAGAGAAAAAAUAUACAAGGAGUUCUCUUAGUUUCUCUUGAUAGUUUGAUUGUGAGGGGAAUUCUUGGGAGUUAGUUUUAUCUCGAUGAAAUAUAUAGCAGCAAUUACCAAGGAAAAAAAAUAUAUUUCACAGAGGUUUUCUUUUGAGGAAUACUCUGAGUUUGGAGGGGGAUUUUUGAGAGUCAAAAUGAAAGUCAGGAAAAGAGAAGUGAAAGAGUUACAGUUUCCUGAGCAGUAGGAAAGAUAUUCAAUAGAGUCUAGCUCUACAUCUCUAUCUAGUUACUCAAAUUAAGAUUCGUGUUCAAAGUCGUGGAAGCUCGUUGACUCCUUGCUCACCACUGUCCAGUUAGCUGCCCAGAAGAAGAGUCUUUGAAGGCUCCCUCUCCCUUUGCAUCCAUUUAUCAAGUCAAACCAUUAAAAUUGACGGACACGUUCCAAGGUUUAUAAGAUCAAAGGGAAGUCAAAGAAGCGAGAUUACAAGACCCUCUAUUUUUGUAUUUUCAUUUGUAAUUGGCUUAAGCCUUCGUCGUCUCUCAUUUUUCUGUAUUUACUUUGUAUUAUUAUUUGCUUAGUGUAGGACAAGUACGAAAAAAAUGGGUCAAAAACCCAAAAAGGUCAAAUGGGUCAAAACCCAAAGAAAAAUGGGUCUAAAUACCGGUCCAGACAGACAGAUAAACUGGACACGGACCCAACCCUCCCUCUCUCUCCCUCUCCCUUUACUUUUCUUGUUAUUUAUUUGCGUUUGAUUGCCUCUAGUUUUAAGGUUAGAAAUUCGCAAAUCCUCGCAAGGCGCCACUAUGUUUUAGCGGUUUAAAUUAAAUUGAUCAAUCUGUAAAAAACUAUAAAAGAAUCAAGUAAAUUUUUUGAAUUAAAUGGUGUAGACUAAUAUCAUA